Long non-coding RNA from Corvus hawaiiensis (hawaiian crow), 1261 nucleotides. RefSeq lists it as uncharacterized. The transcript has 3 exons. The record is from RefSeq and is a predicted model, not a curated record. NCBI's taxonomy places the organism in Eukaryota, Metazoa, Chordata, Aves, Passeriformes, Corvidae.
CAGGCAGAAAAUAGCUGCUUCCAGAAAACAGUUUGUCAUUUAACGGCACUGUAAUAGAAAUCAUGCUCUCUCCCUUUAUCUUCUAUAACAAAAUCAAAUGUUCCACAAAUAUUUUUGCUAAUAUAGAAGAUGUUCACAUAUUAUGGAAAAAAGAGCAUGAAAGAUUCUAGAAUAUGAUUACACUGAUGUCUAGAGACCAAGAAAACUACUUCACCUGAACACUGUUAACAUAUGUGGCAUUACUGAGUUUAAAGAUUCCUUGCUGCUCCAGGGGAAGAACAGAAGAGGAGUGAGAGAACAACUGAGUACUGGUUAGUUAACAGCUGGGUUUAAGCCUUGACAGUCCUGGUUGUCCCUCUUUUCCACCUCACUUGAGUCAGGGCCCUCUAGUACUGGUCAUAGGAUUCUCCACUUCUUUUUCGUAGAAACAGAUUAAAAUUCAUUCCCAUAGGAUCAGGAGCAAAAUCAGCCCUUCCAAUCUGUCUGGGAAACUGACCACUGGAGACUGGAGCAGCAACUUUCCUGGAAGAACACCCAUCUGCAAUUGUUUUCCUUUGCUGUUCAAGUCCUUGUGCCUCUAGGUCAAGCUUCCACAGCCCUCAAUAUGAUUUGUCUGAAGUUUCAGUGGCAGCUUCUCACACCACAGACACAGUGAGAAUGGAACAGACAUGAGUAUUGAGAAGGCGAACACUUGGGUCUGCCUGGGCAGGUGCAGCUUGACAUGCGUUUGCAGUGCUCACGAUCCAGUCUGGCAGGGCAUAUGCUGGCCAUGACUCAGGAGCCAUGUGGCUGCAUGAGCACUGAGCCUCCUGAGAGGUGGGAUUCAGUUUUUGGGACAAACUAGACUGUGAAAAUAGUGCUGUGAAUUUUCUGGAUUGGUACUGGCAUAUACAGCCACUUCAUAUGGCAAGCAAAAGAGAUGUUGUUUGCUUAUACUCCUCUGUUUAAAUGUGUAUUAUUCUUGUUCUGUGGUGAUAUUUUAUAUCCCUUCAUAUUUGUGUAUUGACUGAACUUCUGUAUUUUGUGAUUGUCAGGACUCUUGCUAUCUAAAUGAGGUUAAAUUGCAAUUAAACACAUAGAAAAUCCAGAACAGGGGUGGUGUUGAGAACUAUCACUGAGCUGAGGAGGUCAUCACACAAUUUAUUUCUGAACAAUCUUUUGUUUUAUAUGCUUAUAAAUACAGCCAUCCAACUCACAGAAAAUACAUGGUUUAAAAGUUUUAAGGCUUUUCCAGCGAAGAAAAGAAAAGAAAAAAAGAAAA